ACUCAAAGGAAUAGACGGGGGCCCGCACAAGCGGUGGAGCAUGUGGAUUAAUUCGUCACUAACCGAAGAACCUUACCCAGGCUUGACAUUGAGUGCAAGUCCCUGAAAGGGGUCCCCUCCGCAAGGAGCACGAAAACAGGUGUUGCAUGGCUGUCGUCAGCUCGUGUCGUGAGAUGUUGGGUUAAGUCCCGCAACGAGCGCAACCCUCACCGUAUGUUGCCAGCGUAAAGUCGGGAACUCUUACGGAACUGCCCGUGCAAGCGGGAGGAAGGUGGGGACGACGUCAAGUCGGCAUGGCCCUUACGCCUGGGGCUUCACACAUGCUACAAUGGGCGGCACAGAGGGGUGCGAUCCCGCGAGGGGGAGCGAAUCUCAAAAAGCCGUCCUCAGUUCGGAUUGCAGGCUGCAACUCGCCUGCAUGAAGCCGGAAUCGCUAGUAACCGCAGGUCAGCGAAACUGCGGUGAAUACGUUCCCGGGCCUUGUACACACCGCCCGU
Molecule: ribosomal RNA, 497 nt
Filed under: uncultured bacterium
Lineage: Bacteria
Description: partial 16S ribosomal RNA
Rfam family: Bacterial small subunit ribosomal RNA
Source: RNAcentral